GCCGUCUUCACAACUUGGAGACAAAUUGCGCUACGAACCGGAGCAAGGACUAACCUCACCUCAUAACGAGGCCGUGACCUCCUAUUUGCUCGGAGCUAUGUCCGCAAGUCCAGAUUUACGUGACGCUGAUAGUGACGUCAUUGUGUCUGCCUGUAAGACGUACUAUGAGACAGUACGCAGGAGCUUCAGGUACAGACAGCCAGAUCUCGCAUCGCAGGCGGAAGCUGUGAAGACUUCAACUCGGAGUCGAUCGAGAAGAAAGAGGGUAAC
Long non-coding RNA from Epinephelus fuscoguttatus (brown-marbled grouper), 270 nucleotides. RefSeq lists it as uncharacterized. The record is from RefSeq and is a predicted model, not a curated record. Lineage: Eukaryota; Metazoa; Chordata; Actinopteri; Perciformes; Serranidae. The transcript has 3 exons.